UGGGGAAUAUUGGACAAUGGGGGAAACCCUGAUCCAGCAAUGCCGCGUGAGUGAAGAAGGCCUUAGGGUUGUAAAGCUCUUUCGCCCGCGAAGAUAAUGACGGUAGCGGGAGAAGAAGCCCCGGCUAACUCCGUGCCAGCAGCCGCGGUAAUACGGAGGGGGCUAGCGUUGUUCGGAAUUACUGGGCGUAAAGCGUACGUAGGCGGAUGCGCAAGUUGGGGGUGAAAUCCCGGGGCUUAACCUCGGAAUUGCCCUCAAAACUGCACGUCUUGAGACCGAGAGAGGUAAGGGGAAUUCCUAGUGUAGGGGUGAAAUUCGUAGAUAUUAGGAAGAACACCAGUGGCGAAGGCGCCUUACUGGCUCGGUACUGACGCUGAGGUACGAAAGCGUGGGGAGCAAACA
RNAcentral lists this ribosomal RNA (402 nucleotides) under uncultured bacterium. RNAcentral describes it as "bacterial SSU rRNA". It matches the Rfam family "Bacterial small subunit ribosomal RNA", at positions 355 to 774 of the family's 1533-position model. The record is from RNAcentral.